RNAcentral lists this ribosomal RNA (257 nucleotides) under Cryptosporidium andersoni. RNAcentral describes it as "partial 18S ribosomal RNA". It matches the Rfam family "Eukaryotic small subunit ribosomal RNA", at positions 475 to 759 of the family's 1831-position model. Lineage: Eukaryota; Apicomplexa; Conoidasida; Eucoccidiorida; Cryptosporidiidae. The record is from RNAcentral.
AAAUAACAAUACAGGGCCUAACGGUCUUGUAAUUGGAAUGAGUGAAGUAUAAGCCCCUUUACGAGUAUCAAUUGGAGGGCAAGUCUGGUGCCAGCAGCCGCGGUAAUUCCAGCUCCAAUAGCGUAUAUUAAAGUUGUUGCAGUUAAAAAGCUCGUAGUUGGAUUUCUGUUGUAUAAUUUUAUAAUAUUACCAAGGUAAUUAUUAUAUUAUCAACAUCCUUCCUAUUAUAUUCUAAAUAUAUAGGAAACUUUACUUUG